GGAUGAACGCUGGCGGCGUGCCUAAUACAUGCAAGUCGAGCGAACAGACGAGGAGCUUGCUCCUCUGACGUUCGCGGCGGACGGGUGAGUAACACGUGGAUAACCUACCUAUAAGACUGGGAUAACUUCGGGAAACCGGAGCUAAUACCGGAUAAUAUAUUGAACCGCAUGGUUCAAUAGUGAAAGACGGUUUUGCUGUCACUUAUAGAUGGAUCCGCGCCGCAUUAGCUAGUUGGUAAGGUAACGGCUUACCAAGGCAACGAUGCGUAGCCGACCUGAGAGGGUGAUCGGCCACACUGGAACUGAGACACGGUCCAGACUCCUACGGGAGGCAGCAGUAGGGAAUCUUCCGCAAUGGGCGAAAGCCUGACGGAGCAACGCCGCGUGAGUGAUGAAGGUCUUCGGAUCGUAAAACUCUGUUAUUAGGGAAGAACAAAUGUGUAAGUAACUAUGCACGUCUUGACGGUACCUAAUCAGAAAGCCACGGCUAACUACGUG
Molecule: ribosomal RNA, 498 nt
Filed under: uncultured bacterium
Lineage: Bacteria
Description: partial 16S ribosomal RNA
Rfam family: Bacterial small subunit ribosomal RNA
Source: RNAcentral